RNAcentral lists this long non-coding RNA (990 nucleotides) under Marmota monax (woodchuck). Lineage: Eukaryota; Metazoa; Chordata; Mammalia; Rodentia; Sciuridae. The record is from RNAcentral.
AUAUCUUUAGCAAUUAGACUUCUGAAAAUUGAAUAUUGGAUUAAGAAUUGGAAAAUAUUAAAAUAGUCCACUUAUCAAAUACAUUAUUUUAAACCCCAUAAAAAAUCGCUUCUCGGCCUUUUGGCUAAGAUCAAGUGUAAACCCCAUAAAAUACUAGGACUUGAAAAAAUUUAUGUGACAGCACAAUGAUUAAACUCAUUCUUUAUCUUUCUAAAAAGGAAAAAAAGAAAACACAAAGAAAGUCAUCAGUUGACUUAGAAAUUCAGUUUCUCUACAGGCUCCACCUUUUAAAAAUUUCAAUUAACUUUAUGCUAUAAGAUCAAUUUUGUUGUAUCCGGGUAGUUAACAAGAAGGGAAAUGGUAGAGGGCAAGAUGCUAUUGGCAAAGAACGUGCCAAAGUCGGUAGAAAACUUUUAAUGAGAAUCCUAAUGUUCCAAAAUAAUUCAUAAACUUGGCAAAGUAGCAUCUUGGGAAUAAUUUAGUCUAGAAAUAUAUCAGUUCUGUGAUAAAGGAAAAUGUGAGUUCAUAAAAACUGUCAGAAUGUGAUACAACUGAAUCCUUCAAUCUGAGGCAUUGAUAUGCAUGAAGGUAGCACCAUGUCCUCCAAUAAUGACUGUUUCAGGGUUUCAUGUUGGAUUAAAUUUAUAUAUUAAUUUGUUUUUUUAAAAUACAACAUGUUAUAUGAAGAUGGCCAAAAAGAUGACAUAGCAUUCAGAGAAACCACACACUUUAUUUGCAAACAUUUCAAAGUAGAUGCUUUAUUGUUUUCAAACUAAAAGGAUUAUUUAUAAACCAAUGAUUAUUUAAAUUAAUAAGCUUUAUGUUGGGGGACUGUUUUAGGUUCACAGCAAAAUUGUGUUACAAUCAAUGAACCCAUAUUGACACACCACUUCCAAAGCCCACAGUUUACAUCAAAGAUGAAAGCUCUUGAUGUUGCAAAAUCUUUGGGUGUUGGGCAAUAUAUAAUGACAUGUAUCUCCCAUUAUUUUA